CGAAACGGCCAUACCACCCUGAUCACGCCCGUUCUCGUCUGGUCUCUGAAAGCUAAGCAGGGUCAGGCCUGGUUAGUACUUGGAUGGGUGACCGCCUGGGAAUACCAGGUGCUGUAAGUG
Gadus morhua (Atlantic cod) is the source of this 120-nucleotide ribosomal RNA. Lineage: Eukaryota; Metazoa; Chordata; Actinopteri; Gadiformes; Gadidae. The record is from Ensembl.